ACAACGGUGGCCAAGUAGUAAGGCAUCGAUCUUGUAAACCCAAGAUUGUGGGUUCGAGCCACUUUCGUUCUC
Molecule: transfer RNA, 72 nt
Filed under: Lepisosteus oculatus (spotted gar)
Lineage: Eukaryota; Metazoa; Chordata; Actinopteri; Semionotiformes; Lepisosteidae
Rfam family: tRNA
About the family: Transfer RNA (tRNA) molecules are approximately 80 nucleotides in length. Their secondary structure includes four short double-helical elements and three loops (D, anti-codon, and T loops). Further hydrogen bonds mediate the characteristic L-shaped molecular structure. tRNAs have two regions of fundamental functional importance: the anti-codon, which is responsible for specific mRNA codon recognition, and the 3' end, to which the tRNAs corresponding amino acid is attached (by aminoacyl-tRNA synthetases). tRNAs cope with the degeneracy of the genetic code in two manners: having more than one tRNA (with a specific anti-codon) for a particular amino acid; and 'wobble' base-pairing, i.e. permitting non-standard base-pairing at the 3rd anti-codon position.
Source: Rfam by way of RNAcentral